GAUGAACGCUGGCGGCGUGCCUAAUACAUGCAAGUCGAGCGAACAGACGAUGCGCUUGCUCCUCUGACGUUAGCGGCGGACGGGUGAGUAACACGUGGAUAACCUUCCUCUAAGACUGGGAUAACUUCGGGAAACCGGAGCUACUACCGGAUAAUAUAUUUAACCGCAUGGUUCAAUAGUGAUAGCCGGUUUUGCUGUCACUUCUAGAUGGAUCCGCGCCGCAUUAGCUAGUUGGUAAGGUAACGGCUUACCAAGGCGACGAUGCGUAGCCGACCUGAGAGGGUGAUCGGCCACACUGGAACUGAGACACGGUCCAGACUCCUACGGGAGGCAGCAGUAGGGAAUCUUCGGCAAUGGGCGAAAGCCUGACGGAGCAACGCCGCGUGGGUGAUGAAGGUCUUCGGAUCGUAAAACUCUGUUAGUAGGGAAGAACAAAUGUGUAAGUAACUAUGCACGUCUUGACGGUACCUAAACAGAAAGCCACGGCUAACUACGUG
Molecule: ribosomal RNA, 497 nt
Filed under: uncultured bacterium
Lineage: Bacteria
Description: partial 16S ribosomal RNA
Rfam family: Bacterial small subunit ribosomal RNA
Source: RNAcentral